Molecule: ribosomal RNA, 305 nt
Filed under: uncultured bacterium
Lineage: Bacteria
Description: bacterial SSU rRNA
Rfam family: Bacterial small subunit ribosomal RNA
Source: RNAcentral
CCUACGGGGCGCAGCAGCCGCGGUAAUAUGUAGGUGGCAAGCGUUAUCCGGAAUGAUUGGGCGUAAAGGGUGCGUAGGCGGCAAAAUAAGUCUGAAGUAAAAGGCGUUGGCUCAACCAACGUAAGCUUUGGAAACUGUUAAGCUAGCGUGCAGGAGAGGUUAGUGGAAUUCCAUGUGUAGCGGUAAAAUGCGUAGAUAUAUGGAGGAACACCAGUGGCGAAGGCGGCUAACUGGCCUGUAACGGACGCUGAGGCACGAAAGCGUGGGGAGCAAAUAGGAUUAGAAACCCCAGUAGUCCCCCAGAU